Molecule: ribosomal RNA, 459 nt
Filed under: uncultured bacterium
Lineage: Bacteria
Description: partial 16S ribosomal RNA
Rfam family: Bacterial small subunit ribosomal RNA
Source: RNAcentral
CCUACGGGAGGCUGCAGUGAGGAAUAUUGGUCAAUGGCCGGAAGGCUGAACCAGCCAAGCCGCGUGAAGGACGAAGGUGCCAAGCAUUGUAAACUUCUUUUGUCAAGGGACAAAAUCAGGCUCGAGAGCCUGACCGAGGGUACUUGAAGAAAAAGCAUCGGCUAACUCCGUGCCAGCAGCCGCGGUAAUACGGAGGAUGCGAGCGUUAUCCGGAUUUAUUGGGUUUAAGGGGUGCGUAGGCGGACUGUUAAGUCAGCGGGAAAAGCCCGGGGCUCAACCCCGGCGAGCCGUUGAAACGGGCUGUCUUGAGAUGUCGAGAGGUAUGCGGAAUGCGCAGUGUAGCGGUGAAAUGCUUAGAUAUUGCGCAGAACUCCGAUUGCGAAGGCAGCAUACCGGCGGCGAUCUGACGCUGAGGCACGAAAGCGUGGGUAUCGAACAGGAUUAGAUACCCUUGUAGUC